UCCGGUGCGCCCCCGGCGGCCCUUG
This 25-nucleotide non-coding RNA is filed under the name Arabidopsis thaliana (thale cress). The record is from RNAcentral. Lineage: Eukaryota; Viridiplantae; Streptophyta; Magnoliopsida; Brassicales; Brassicaceae. RNAcentral also lists the same sequence under 1 other name.